GUCUUUAUGCAGGGGCAUUACGUGUAUCAGUGAGGAUUCGUCCGAGAUCAUGUUUUUGCUGGUUGAAAACUUAAACCUGACAACUUCUUGAAUGCUAUAGUAUUUUACUUGUGUGUUUAAGAGAAUUUUUGGAACCAUUUUUUUUCAUAAUCAUCAAACAUGUGGGAAAUCACGAAUAAUG
Molecule: non-coding RNA, 181 nt
Organism: Candida albicans SC5314
Lineage: Eukaryota; Fungi; Ascomycota; Pichiomycetes; Serinales; Debaryomycetaceae
Source: Rfam